This is a long non-coding RNA of Thunnus maccoyii (southern bluefin tuna), 576 nucleotides long. RefSeq lists it as uncharacterized. Lineage: Eukaryota; Metazoa; Chordata; Actinopteri; Scombriformes; Scombridae. The transcript has 2 exons. The record is from RefSeq and is a predicted model, not a curated record.
CAUGGGUUUGGGCGGAACCAGUGCUGGGGAUUUUCAAAGUAAACGCAUCAAGUUUUUUGGAGACACAUUGAGCCGCUGCAGCCAUUUAAAGUUUCCAGAGGACCAGAGUGGAGAGCUUGUAAGACACCAGGGAAGACAGCUGUGGAUGGAGUGUUGCUCAUCUGGAAUGCUUUUGCUGGGGUUUCAUAUCUGCUGUCUGAGUCUCUAACUGUACCUACCAAGACUGGCUUUCACAGUGAAACAUAUACUCACCAAGCACUUUAUUAGGAACACCUGUACAAUCUAAUGUAAUCCUAUACAACAGCUCUGUCUUAAAUUCUUCUAUGAAGCCUAUACAUAUUCUGUCCAACCUGAGGGUGUGGACAAAAUAUUAGGAACUCUUUUCUAUAUAAUGCACUCCAGCACACCACCCACUGCAAAUUUAAUUGAAUUUAAGCACUCUCCUUACAUUUUAUGGAUGAUUAGAAGAGAUGGUCAAUCUUUAUACAGUUGAUGUACAAAUGUAUUAAUUAUUCAUCGUCUUGUUUUUGUCAUAUGACCUCUGUCUUCUUCAAGAUAAAUACAAGGUGUACUCUC